This 2799-nucleotide ribosomal RNA is filed under the name Triticum aestivum (bread wheat). Its description in RNAcentral is "partial small subunit ribosomal RNA". Lineage: Eukaryota; Viridiplantae; Streptophyta; Magnoliopsida; Poales; Poaceae. The record is from RNAcentral.
CAACCGGUCUGUCUCGCUGUCCGUCGAGACGACGAGGCGUGGCAGUGGCAUGAGCGCUUUGGGCACCUUCACUUUGAGGCCCUAAAGCGUCUAAGUGCCAAGGAGAUGGUGCGAGGCCUGCCAUGCCUCGACCAUGUGGAGCAGUUCUGCGACAUCUGCGUACUGACAAAGCAGAGACGACUCCCCUUUCCCCAACAGGCGAGUUUUCGGGCUAAGGAGAAGCUGGAGCUCGUGCACGGAGACCUGUGCGGCCCGGUGACGCCAGCCACACCAGGAGGUCGACGCUACUUCCUGCUGCUCGUCGACGAUCUCUCCCGCUACAUGUGGGUGAUGAUCCUCGGCAGUAAGGGAGAAGCAGCGGACGCCAUCAGGCGCGCGCAGGUUGGUGUGGAGGCGGAGAGCGGCCGCAAAUUGCGCGUGUUGCGCACUGACAACGGCGGCGAGUUCACGGCGGCUGAAUUCGCGUCGUACUGCGCCGAUGAGGGCAUCCAGCGCCACUACUCCGCGCCGUACAGCCCGCAGCAAAACGGCGUCGUCGAGCGGCGCAACCAGACGGUUGUGGGGAUGGCUCGGGCUCUCCUCAAGCAGAGAGGGAUGCCGGCUGUCUUCUGGGGAGAGGCGGUGCUAACGGCCGUCUACAUCCUCAACCGCUCUCCUACUAAGGCACUCGACGGCAGAACUCCGUACGAGGCCUGGCAUGGGCGGAAGCCGGCGGUCUCUCAUUUGCGGGUCUUUGGCUGCCUUGCGUUCGCCAAGGAGCUCGGCCACAUCGGCAAGCUCGACGACAGGAGCACUCCGGGAGUCUUCAUCGGCUACGCGGAGGGCUCAAAGGCCUACCGCAUCCUCGACCCAAAGACACAACGUGUGCGCACAGCGCGAGACGUCGUGUUCAACGAAGGGCGAGGGUGGCAAUGGGACAAGGCGGUGGACGACGGCUCGACGCCGACGUAUGACGACUUCAUUGUCGAGUACGCUCACUUCAAGGAAGCUGGGGGAGCAAGCAACUCCUCUUCACCGGGCACGUCUACCCCGGCCCCCAAAACUACAUCGACUCCGGCGCCUGCUACACCGACGACACCACAACCGGCGACGCCGCAUACUCCAGCCCCGGCGGUCGCCACUCCGGGCUCGUCUUCAUCAGCACCAGCUCACGCAGAGCACAACCCGAUGAAGUUCGCUUCCCCGCUCACUCACGACGAGGAGCGGGUCGACGCAUGGUAUGGAGGCGAACCGCUGCGGUACCGUACGAUGGAUAAUGUGCUCGGCGACCAGCCGGUGCCAGGACUGGUGCCACGUGACCUGGAGGCGCAGCUACAGCUCGUGUGUGAAGACGGCGAACCACGGUCCUUUGCAGAGGCCGAGAGAGACGCGGCAUGGCGCGCCGCGAUGAAGUUGGAGAUGGAUGCGGUCAAGCAAAACCGCACCUGGGAGCUUGCUGAUCUCCCUCGAGGUCACCGCGCAAUCACCCUUAAGUGGGUGUUCAAGCUGAAGAGGGAUGGAGCCGGCGCCAUCAUCAAGCACAAGGCUCGUUUGGUGGCCCGAGGCUUCUUGCAGCAGGAAGGAGUCGACUUCGACGACGCUUUCGCUCCCGUGGCACGGAUGGAGUCCGUGCGACUUCUCCUUGCGCUGGCUGCCCAGGAGGGCUGGCGUGUCCACCACAUGGACGUUAAGUCGGCAUUCCUCAAUGGCGACUUGAAGGAGGAAGUCUACGUGCAUCAGCCACCGGGGUUUACGAUUCCCGGCCAGGAGGGCAAGGUGCUCCGCCUGCGCAAGGCUCUCUAUGGCCUGCGGCAGGCACCCAGGGCGUGGAACGCCAAGCUGGACUCCACGCUGAAGAAGAUGGGUUUCGAGCAGAGCCCGCAUGAGGCUGCCGUCUACCGACGGGGGAGUGGAGGAAAUGCCCUGCUGGUGGGCGUCUACGUUGACGACCUGGUGAUCACCGGCACCAAAGAUGCAGAGGUGGCGGCGUUCAAGGAAGACAUGAAGGCCAUGUUCCAGAUGAGUGACCUGGGGCUCCUCUCCUAUCUAGGGAUUGAGGUGCACCAGGACCACUCCGGGAUCGCGCUUCGACAGUCCGCCUACGCCAAGCGCAUCGUUGAGCUAGCUGGGCUCACCGACUGCCAUCCAGCUCUCACUCCGAUGGAGGAGAGGCUGAAACUAAGUCGCGACAGCACGACGGAGGAAGUGGAUGCUACGCAGUACCGACGCCUUGUGGGGAGCCUUCGCUACCUCACUCACACACGGCCGGACUUGGCAUUCUCCGUCGGCUAUGUCAGUCGGUUCAUGGAGCGACCAACGUCGGAACACCAGCAGGCAGUGAAGAGGAUCGUCCGCUACAUAGCAGGGACCCUCGACCACGGCCUCCAUUACCCUAGGUGCCCUGGGGCGGCACACUUCGUCGGGUACAGCGACAGCGACCACGCCGGCGACAUCGACACCAGCAAGAGCACGAGCGGGAUCCUCCUCUUCCUCGGCAAGUGUCUCGUGAGCUGGCAAUCAGUCAAGCAGCAGGUGGUGGCCCUGUCCAGCUGUGAGGCUGAGUACAUAGCGGCCUCCACCGCCUGUACUCAGGCGCUCUGGCUUGCUCGACUGCUUGGUGAUCUUCUCGUUCAAGACACCAGAACGGUGCAACUCCUGGUGGACAGCAAGUCCGCCCUGGCCCUGGCAAAGAACCCCGUGUUCCACGAACGGAGGAGCAUCGAGGCGAGCUACAUCAACACCAAGGAUCAGCUCGCAGACCUGCUCACCAAGCCCCUUGGGAGGGUCAAGUUCCUCGAACUUUGCUCCAGGAUUGGGAUG